GGCCUGCCCACUGACUUCGGUUGAAGGGCCGCGGUAUUUUGACCGUGCGAAGGUAGCAUAAUCAUUAGUCUUUUAAUUGGAGGCUUGUAUGAAUGGUUGAACAAAAAAUAAGCUGUCUCGAUUAUAAAAAUUGAAUUUAACUUUUAAGUGAAAAGGCUUAAAUGAUAUAGGGUGACGAUAAGACCCUAUAAAACUUUACAAUUAUUUAAUUGAAUGAUGAAUUGUUAGUAUAAAUUUGAUUCAAUUAAUGUUUGUUUCGUUGGGGCGACGAAAUAUAAUUUUAUAACUGUUUUAUAAUUUUGUAACAAUGAUUUUUGGUGAAGAUGAUCCUUUAUUAGAGAUUAAAAGAUUAAGUUACUUUAGGGAUAACAGCGUAAUCUUCUUUGAAAGUUCAUAUCGACAAGAAGGGUUGCGACCUCGAUGUUGAAUUAAGGUUUCUUUGUGGUGCAGUAGUUACAGUG
This 461-nucleotide ribosomal RNA is filed under the name Mierspenaeopsis hardwickii. RNAcentral's name for it is "partial 16S ribosomal RNA". It matches the Rfam family "Bacterial large subunit ribosomal RNA", at positions 1856 to 2569 of the family's 2925-position model. The record is from RNAcentral. Lineage: Eukaryota; Metazoa; Arthropoda; Malacostraca; Decapoda; Penaeidae.